This is a long non-coding RNA of Suricata suricatta (meerkat), 301 nucleotides long. RefSeq lists it as uncharacterized. NCBI's taxonomy places the organism in Eukaryota, Metazoa, Chordata, Mammalia, Carnivora, Herpestidae. The record is from RefSeq and is a predicted model, not a curated record. The transcript has 3 exons.
GAAUGUUAAAAAUAAGACUUCAUAAAAAAACUGUUCUGAAGAGUAAAGAUGUCUCAGAAAAGAUGGUAUUAACUCCAAAGAUAAUGUGUGUUUCUUAUACCAAAAAGUAAUCUCUAUACCCAAUGUGGGGCUCAAACACACAACCCCUAUAUUAAGAUUACAUGUCAGAUGGAGCCAGCAAGGCACCUUUGUUUUGGGAAUUAAAACCGCUAUUGAACAACAGAGGUCCGUACUCCUUCACAGAAGAUUGGUUUUUGGUAUGAAGCAGCAAAUCUUGCUUUUUUCCUCUGGUGAACACAAA